RNAcentral lists this ribosomal RNA (210 nucleotides) under Triticum aestivum (bread wheat). Its description in RNAcentral is "partial small subunit ribosomal RNA". Lineage: Eukaryota; Viridiplantae; Streptophyta; Magnoliopsida; Poales; Poaceae. The record is from RNAcentral.
AUGCAGAGAGCAAUCAGGGUGGUGUGGCCUGACUCAAACCAUAGGCUCUGUAUAUGGCACAUUCAGCAGAACAUUGUACGCCAUCUGCAUGAUGACGCGGUAAAGGAGGAAUUCCGAUCUUUCAUAUAUGAUACAUCUUCCAUUGAAGAGCAUGAGAGAAAAUGGUUACACUUCUUACAACGGAAUAAAGUAACAAGUGAGGACUCCUAG